CUUUUGCCAGUUCUAAAAAUACUAGUGAAUAAGGGGUGGGCAAGUUCUGGUGUCAGCCGCCGCGGUAAAACCAGCACCUCAAGUGGUCAGGAGGAUUAUUGGGCCUAAAGCAUCCGUAGCCUGCUCUGUAAGUUUUCGGUUAAAUCUAUAUGCUCAACGUAUAGGCCGCCGAAAAUACUGCAGUGCUAGGAAGUGGGAGAGGUAGACGGUACUUGAUAGGAAGGGGUAAAAUCCUUUGAUCUAUCGAUGACCACCUGUGGCGAAGGCGGUCUACCAGAACACGUUCGACGGUGAGGGAUGAAAGCUGGGGGAGCAAACCGGAUUAGAUACCCGGGUAGUCCCAGCUGUAAACGAUGCAGACUCGAUGAUGCAUUGGCAUCUAGCCAGUGCAGUGUCGCAGGGAAGCCGUUAAGUCUGCCGCCUGGGAAGUACGUACGCAAGUAUGAAA
This 448-nucleotide ribosomal RNA is filed under the name uncultured marine group I thaumarchaeote. RNAcentral's name for it is "bacterial SSU rRNA". It matches the Rfam family "Archaeal small subunit ribosomal RNA", at positions 407 to 854 of the family's 1478-position model. The record is from RNAcentral. Lineage: Archaea; Thermoproteati; Nitrososphaerota.